This 470-nucleotide ribosomal RNA is filed under the name Anopheles claviger. RNAcentral's name for it is "eukaryotic LSU rRNA". The stretch from base 1 to 98 matches the Rfam family "5.8S ribosomal RNA", at positions 56 to 154 of the family's 154-position model. The record is from RNAcentral. Lineage: Eukaryota; Metazoa; Arthropoda; Insecta; Diptera; Culicidae.
CGCGUCAGAAUGUGAACUGCAGGACACAUGAACACCGACAAGUUGAACGCAUAUUGCGCAUCGUGCGACCAGCACGGUGUACACAUUUUUGAGUGCCUAUAUUUAUCCUUCAUUCAACUGCGCGCUGCGUGCUGGUGUAACAAACCGCGCGACAGCGUGCGCCCACUGAAUGCGUUGUGCAACCGCCCGCCGCGGUAGCGCAAACAUUGAAUACCGAAGCGUGUUUUCCGGUCACAUAACGAGAUGUGCUUGUGUCUUCCAACGGCACAGUGCACUUGCUAGCGUGCCCCGGGCCAACACCUCACCGACGUUAGCGCGUUCGCGUGUGCGUGUGCUCGGCCCGAAGUGCCGCCGCGAGCUGCUGCUGCAAUCUCUCCGGUGUGCGUACCAGAUAAACGCUUUCUCACGACACGAAGAAAAAACCUCAGUAGGCCUCAAAUAAUGUGUGACUACCCCCUAAAUUUAAGCAU